UUUCUGGGGGUUAAUGAAUAGCAGUGACACACAGAACCAGUCUGAGUUUUGAUGGGUCCCAAGAGGUGUUUUUCUCCAGGCCUCGCACUUGAACACUAGUGCCUGAAAGGGGCGACUACACUUCAUGUUACCGCCAGUAAUGCAUCGCAGCAUUAUGGAUGGGCCCACUGUCCACUGCCUCUCAGUGCAAAGGAGGUCAGCAUCUCGCAAACGAGUGCCACGCUGCCCUCUAAGGUGAUUACUGAUAAAGAAUGACAUGCUGAAGGGAGACGCAGGGGAAAUAUACGCCAGAGUCCAAUCACCUCUCCUGCCUCAAUACAUUCUCUCAUCGGAAGGCCUGUAUAAAUACAGCGAGAACGAAUACUCCCCUCUCCUUAUGAGACACUUCAUCUCCAGAAGAGGACAGAAGGUCGAGUCAUCAAAAAUGCAGGAGGCUUUUGGCGGAGUAUCCACAUGUUCUCUCUGAUAUUGUGAUGAGGUCUCAAAUAUUUUCAAACAUACUGCAUUUUCUCUGUAAGAUACUCCCUGUCAUAGUGAAAUGGCCUGUGACACGAACACUGUAAAAGACACAGAGAAAAUGGUCCAUGUGGGAACCCUGCGUUUGGCUUCUGUUUCCAUGAUGUCACACUGGGUAGCUCCGCCCAUAGUGAAUCCUCAUUGGUCCAAGAUCCUGCACCACAUAGAUCUACAGAUCUCGGUUUCAGAGAAAGGACAGAAAACAUGUUAACCUUUGUAUAUCUUCAAUGAAGCCCUAGCAUGCAAUUGUAAAAAUACUCCUAAUAAGAAGAUUAGAUCUUCAACUCAAAUCCAAGGAUGUGUUUUCGUACCCACACACAAAGAAGUAGACUGUCAGAGAAGGAGAGAAGAGAGUCCAUACUGUUUGAGCCUCUGUGUGUGCACACAUACACUUGAAAUAUUAGGUUGUUAGCAAGCACCAUUACGAAGUGAGAAAGGGAGGCGAACAGAGAGCCAUUCUUUCACGAGGAGGUGCCAUGUCCCAACCAUCACACUCCCGGCUCAUGAGGACUCCAAUGGCACCUGAGGGGGAAUCUCAUGGCUGUCAUCCCAGAAAGCCUCCUGCACUGAUGCAGGCCUGCCAUCUGCUCUCCAUAUGAGAUAAAAAUGAGGAAUUGUCUUCGAAAAGCCAUCUUUUUCUCUUCUUCAACUCACCAACUGAAAAAUCGUUGUUAUUGCUAAGAUAUUCUGGAAACAAAAACAGGAAGCCACACCAUAAGUAGCUGGUUGACUAACAAAGUGGGUAAUUACCUUAAAUGCUAACAGAGUUGUUGGGACAUUCCUGUUAUGC
Molecule: long non-coding RNA, 1306 nt
Organism: Cyprinus carpio carpio
Lineage: Eukaryota; Metazoa; Chordata; Actinopteri; Cypriniformes; Cyprinidae
Source: Ensembl